RNAcentral lists this transfer RNA (95 nucleotides) under Alistipes finegoldii. Its description in RNAcentral is "tRNA-Gly". The record is from RNAcentral. Lineage: Bacteria; Pseudomonadati; Bacteroidota; Bacteroidia; Bacteroidales; Rikenellaceae.
UGCUCGUGGCCAACGGCAUCAAGGCGCUGGCCUACCACGCCGGCAUGGACGCCGCGACACGCGCCGCCAAUCAGGACCAUUUCCUGAUGGAGCGC